RNAcentral lists this ribosomal RNA (876 nucleotides) under Ralstonia solanacearum. RNAcentral's name for it is "bacterial SSU rRNA". It matches the Rfam family "Bacterial small subunit ribosomal RNA", at positions 30 to 905 of the family's 1533-position model. Lineage: Bacteria; Pseudomonadati; Pseudomonadota; Betaproteobacteria; Burkholderiales; Burkholderiaceae. The record is from RNAcentral.
GGAAUUGCGGCUGCCUUACCAUGCAGUCGCCGGCAGCGGGGGUAGCUUGCUACCUGCCGGCGAGUGGCGAACGGGUGAGUAAUACAUCGGAACGUGCCCUAUAGUGGGGGAUAACUAGUCGAAAGACUAGCUAAUACCGCAUACGACCUGAGGGUGAAAGUGGGGGACCGCAAGGCCUCAUGCUAUAGGAGCGGCCGAUGUCUGAUUAGCUAGUUGGUGGGGUAAAGGCCCACCAAGGCGACGAUCAGUAGCUGGUCUGAGAGGACGAUCAGCCACACUGGGACUGAGACACGGCCCAGACUCCUACGGGAGGCAGCAGUGGGGAAUUUUGGACAAUGGGGGCAACCCUGAUCCAGCAAUGCCGCGUGUGUGAAGAAGGCCUUCGGGUUGUAAAGCACUUUUGUCCGGAAAGAAAUCGCACUGGUUAAUACCUGGUGUGGAUGACGGUACCGGAAGAAUAAGGACCGGCUAACUACGUGCCAGCAGCCGCGGUAAUACGUAGGGUCCAAGCGUUAAUCGGAAUUACUGGGCGUAAAGCGUGCGCAGGCGGUUGUGCAAGACCGAUGUGAAAUCCCCGGGCUUAACCUGGGAAUUGCAUUGGUGACUGCACGGCUAGAGUGUGUCAGAGGGAGGUAGAAUUCCACGUGUAGCAGUGAAAUGCGUAGAGAUGUGGAGGAAUACCGAUGGCGAAGGCAGCCUCCUGGGAUACACUGACGCUCAUGCACGAAAGCGUGGGGAGCAAACAGGAUUAGAUACCCUGGUAGUCCACGCCCUAAACGAUGUCAACUAAUUUGUUGGGGAUUCAUUUCCUUAGUAACGUAGCUAACGCGGGAGGUGGACCGCCUGGGGAGCAACGUCACAAGAUUAAACUUCAAG